Long non-coding RNA from Daphnia magna, 447 nucleotides. RefSeq lists it as uncharacterized. The transcript has 2 exons. The record is from RefSeq and is a predicted model, not a curated record. NCBI's taxonomy places the organism in Eukaryota, Metazoa, Arthropoda, Branchiopoda, Diplostraca, Daphniidae.
AGACGUGUCAAGCUUUCCACUUUGACUUGAAAAUGCCUGAAGUCUAACUGCAUUAGUGCACGACCUUCGUUCGUGCAUUUUCUUACAGCGGAAAAUCUAAAGAAUUUCAAAUUGGAUACGGUCUUACAUAAAGGAGGCAGAAUCUGAGGGUAACAGACACGAAGGACACUCAAGUCGUAGUCACUGAGAACCUGCGAAAGAAAUAAGAAUUACAUCAUAGAUGGAAUAUGAUUUUGAUAGCUUUUUGUUUCAACAAGAUAUAUGAAGAUAUCUGAGGGAGCAAUUUUUGGAACAAUUGGACAACAGUCUAAACCGUGUUUCCACAGAGAAUUAGGAAUACAAUAUGGACAAUCACUGUUAAACAUUUGUAACUUUUCCAAAUAACGUGUUUUGGCCUCAAUACUAAGUCCACUGGCAUAAUUAGACAGUGACAUAGUUAAACACUAA